This 594-nucleotide ribosomal RNA is filed under the name uncultured fungus. RNAcentral's name for it is "eukaryotic LSU rRNA". The stretch from base 214 to 367 matches the Rfam family "5.8S ribosomal RNA". Lineage: Eukaryota; Fungi. The record is from RNAcentral.
UUUCGUAACAAGGUCUCCGUAGGUGAACCUGACGGACGCGGAUAAUUACACAAAUAUGAAGGCGGGCUGGAACCUCUCGGGGUUACAGCCUUGCUGAAUUAUUCACCCUUGUCUUUUGCGUACUUCUUGUUUCCUUGGUGGGUUCGCCCACCACUAGGACAAACAUAAACCUUUUGUAAUUGCAAUCAGCGUCAGUAACAAAUUAAUAAUUACAACUUUCAACAACGGAUCUCUUGGUUCUGGCAUCGAUGAAGAACGCAGCGAAAUGCGAUAAGUAGUGUGAAUUGCAGAAUUCAGUGAAUCAUCGAAUCUUUGAACGCACAUUGCGCCCUUUGGUAUUCCAAAGGGCAUGCCUGUUCGAGCGUCAUUUGUACCCUCAAGCUUUGCUUGGUGUUGGGCGUCUUGUCUCUAGCUUUGCUGGAGACUCGCCUUAAAGUAAUUGGCAGCCGGCCUACUUGGUUUCGGAGCGCAGCACAAGUCGCACUCUCUAUCAGCAAAGGUCUAGCAUCCAUUAAGCCUUUUUUUUCAACUUUUGACCUCGGAUCAGGUAGGGAUACCCGCUGAACUUAAGCAUAUCAAUAAAGUAACAUUUCG